GUCAUGUGGCCUAGUGGUCAUGGCAUCUGCCCGGUAAGCGGAAGGUCGUGGGUUCGAUUCCCAUCACUUGACA
Molecule: transfer RNA, 73 nt
Filed under: Cordylochernes scorpioides
Lineage: Eukaryota; Metazoa; Arthropoda; Arachnida; Pseudoscorpiones; Chernetidae
Description: tRNA-Thr
Rfam family: tRNA (bases 5-66)
About the family: Transfer RNA (tRNA) molecules are approximately 80 nucleotides in length. Their secondary structure includes four short double-helical elements and three loops (D, anti-codon, and T loops).
Source: RNAcentral